Molecule: ribosomal RNA, 253 nt
Filed under: uncultured bacterium
Lineage: Bacteria
Description: partial 16S ribosomal RNA
Rfam family: Bacterial small subunit ribosomal RNA
Source: RNAcentral
UACGGAGGGUGCAAGCGUUAAUCGGAAUUACUGGGCGUAAAGCGCACGCAGGUGGCUGAGUCAGUCGAUUGUGAAAGCCCUGGGCUUAACCUGGGAAUUGCAGUCGAUACUACUCAGCUAGAGUAUGGGAGAGGGAUGCAGAAUUCCGGGUGUAGCGGUGGAAUGCGUAGAGAUCCGGAGGAAGACCGGUGGCGAAGGCGGCCUGCUGGGCAGAUACUGACACUGAGGCGCGACAGCGUGGGGAGCAAACAGG